Molecule: transfer RNA, 76 nt
Filed under: Fibrobacteria bacterium
Lineage: Bacteria; Pseudomonadati; Fibrobacterota; Fibrobacteria
Description: tRNA-His
Rfam family: tRNA
About the family: Transfer RNA (tRNA) molecules are approximately 80 nucleotides in length. Their secondary structure includes four short double-helical elements and three loops (D, anti-codon, and T loops). Further hydrogen bonds mediate the characteristic L-shaped molecular structure. tRNAs have two regions of fundamental functional importance: the anti-codon, which is responsible for specific mRNA codon recognition, and the 3' end, to which the tRNAs corresponding amino acid is attached (by aminoacyl-tRNA synthetases). tRNAs cope with the degeneracy of the genetic code in two manners: having more than one tRNA (with a specific anti-codon) for a particular amino acid; and 'wobble' base-pairing, i.e. permitting non-standard base-pairing at the 3rd anti-codon position.
Source: RNAcentral
GUGGAUGUAGCUCAGUCGGUAGAGCAAUGGAUUGUGGUUCCAUGGGUCGAGGGUUCAAAUCCCUUCAUUCACCCCA